Molecule: non-coding RNA, 30 nt
Filed under: Mus musculus (house mouse)
Lineage: Eukaryota; Metazoa; Chordata; Mammalia; Rodentia; Muridae
Source: RNAcentral
UGGUUUCUGUUGCUCUCGUCCUAUGCUUGU